CCAAACUUGGUCAUUUAGAGGAAGUAAAAGUCGUAACAAGGUCUCCGUUGGUGAACCAGCGGAGGGAUCAUUACAGAGUGUAAAAACUCCCAAAACCCAUGUGAACAUACCUUUUUGUUGCUUCGGCGAGAUUGCCCCGGGCGCCUUGCGUGCCCCGGAGUCAGGCGCUCGCCGGGGGACCCUAAACUCUUGUUUUUAACGAGUAUAUUCUGAGUAACGUUUUUAAAAAUAAAUAAAAACUUUCAACAACGGAUCUCUUGGUUCUGGCAUCGAUGAAGAACGCGAUGAAGAACGCAGC
RNAcentral lists this unclassified non-coding RNA (298 nucleotides) under uncultured fungus. RNAcentral's name for it is "partial contains small subunit ribosomal RNA, internal transcribed spacer 1, and 5.8S ribosomal RNA". The stretch from base 1 to 73 matches the Rfam family "Eukaryotic small subunit ribosomal RNA", at positions 1759 to 1831 of the family's 1831-position model. Lineage: Eukaryota; Fungi. The record is from RNAcentral.